AAAUCUGUUUUUUUGUUCUUUCUUUCUCCGCCGUCUUCGAUCUGCUCCUCUUUCUCUUCUUCUUCGUUGUAGAUCAGUCCGUGGGUUUCUUCUUCUUCUCCUCUGCUUCAGGUGGUGGGGCGGCGGCUGAUGGAGAAGCUGGGAGGCGUCGGUUUGCUUCUGUCGAGGCUGUCGAAGACGGCGCUGCUGCGCCUCUUGCUGGUUCUGUUCUUCCCUUCUGCAGGCGGCGGCUCUGUGUUCACAGAGGAAGAUGACUGAUGGGUGGCCAGCUGAAGGCCGAUUAGCUGGUCGGUCGGCUGCCUCUAGCAGGCUGGUCGAUGGAGAUGAGGGAGACGGUUCGGUUUGGCUGACCGGGUCAGUGGCUCUGGUUUUGAGACGGGAGAAGAAACCUUUGGUGAACGACGGCUCUGGUUUACCAAUCAACACCGGGGGAAGGGGGAAGUAAAUCGGCUGCUCUGGUUUCCCUUUUUGGCAGAGAAGUGGUCGCCGGCGUGGGUUGGAGAGGUGAGGGGCUGAAGGAAGAAAAAAAUAAUCCGGGUGCUUUGGGGGGCGGUUUGGCCGGAAAAAAAUGAACAGUGUAGGGGCGGCUGUGUUUUUGGUUUUUUAGGGUUUAGGUUUUUUUUUGUAUUUUCUGAUGUUUUCAAAAUUGC
This 650-nucleotide long non-coding RNA is filed under the name Populus tremula. Its description in RNAcentral is "long non-coding RNA (PTRE_LNC003303)". The record is from RNAcentral. Lineage: Eukaryota; Viridiplantae; Streptophyta; Magnoliopsida; Malpighiales; Salicaceae.